AGCGAACGCUGGCGGCGUGCUUAACACAUGCAAGUCGAGCGAAGGUGUUGCAAGGGUAACCUUGAGAUACACUUAGCGGCGGACGGGUGAGUAAUACGUGGAUAACUUACCUCUAGGCCUGGGACUAACCCCGGGAAACGUGGGGCUAAUACCUGAUAAGACCACAUUGUCUACGGACGAAAGGGGUAAAAGGUGGCUGUGCAAACAGCUAUCGCCAAAAGAUAGGUUCACGUCCCAUCAGGCAGUUGGUGAGGUAAUGGCUCACCAAACCAAAGACGGGUAGCCGGCCUUGGGCGGGUGAACGGCCAC
Molecule: ribosomal RNA, 309 nt
Filed under: uncultured bacterium
Lineage: Bacteria
Description: bacterial SSU rRNA
Rfam family: Bacterial small subunit ribosomal RNA
Source: RNAcentral